Molecule: long non-coding RNA, 482 nt
Organism: Xiphias gladius (swordfish)
Lineage: Eukaryota; Metazoa; Chordata; Actinopteri; Istiophoriformes; Xiphiidae
Exons: 3
Source: RefSeq, a predicted model, not a curated record
AUCAAUGAUCCUCUCCUGUCUGUACGGUAAAUAUGAAGCUACAGCCAGCAGCUGGUUAGAUUCACAGUAGAACAGAAAUGGGGAAACUGGCUGUGGCCUGGCUCUGUCCAAAGAGAAUAAAUUGGAAACCAGAGAUACAACAAAACAGGGAACAGGACCCUCUUGAACCUCAGAGGGACACCGUGGUGGCUGGAGAACAGCGAACUGCCAAGAUCCAGGACGGAAGCUAGAGAUCUAAGAGAUGCUAUGAAGCUUGAUAAUAAUGUUAAUACACUCAUCUGGGAUGCCUCUAGUUAUUACGAUGCACCCAUAAUAAUUAGUUUUAUGAGCAGUAUCAAGAGAUGAAUGGACUUUCUGGCUGUGAAUUAUGCCUCUCAGGCUACAUGCAAACUGCCCUACCUGCUGAUUGGUAUAGGUUGUUGGGGCAGUUCUUGUCACGCACGUAUAAAAAUUGGUCACAUUUUUGUAUGUUUAAUUUAUUU